GUUCCCAUUUUCCUACCGCUUUUCAAUGUCUAGGUUAAGUGGCUAUGCUUAUAGGAUAGAAGAAACUUGCCACAGUCUGAGGGAAAAGUCUCAGAGAGCGGUGGGGAGAUGGGGAAGGGGCAAUGGUCAGUAUGGGCAUGUAAUGGGUGCAGAUUCAUAG
RNAcentral lists this small nucleolar RNA (160 nucleotides) under Corvus moneduloides (New Caledonian crow). RNAcentral's name for it is "Small nucleolar RNA SNORA29 (ENSCMUG00000007537.2)". It matches the Rfam family "Small nucleolar RNA SNORA29". From Rfam's summary of the family: ACA29 is a member of the H/ACA class of snoRNA that guide the sites of modification of uridines to pseudouridines. The record is from RNAcentral. Lineage: Eukaryota; Metazoa; Chordata; Aves; Passeriformes; Corvidae.